AUGGUCCUUGCAUGCAGCAUCUUCCUCAAAGCUACACGGCUACUUGGCUACUCUUUCUCACCCACCCACCUCCUCCUGCUCUCUCUGGUCCUCCUGGCCAUGGUGGCAGCCGUCGUGAACCGCCCACGGUCCGUGUACCUCGUGGAUUAUGCUUGCUUCCUUCCGAGUCCCACCUGGCGUUUCCCUAACUCCGCAUUCAUCGAGUACGCUCGCCUCGUACCCGCGUUCGCGGACGAUCGCACUGUCGGUUUCGUCACGCGGGUGCUCGGAAGCAGCGGUCUCGGCAAUGAGACCAGCCUGCCACCGGGCGACCACUACAUCCCGCCAGACAACAACCUUGUCGUAGCCCGAGCCGAGGCGGAGCUGGUCAUCUUCUCGACCAUCGACGACCUGUUCGCCAAGGCAGGCAUCACCCCUGAUGCAGUCAGCAUCGUCGUCAUCAACUGCAGCGUCUUCGCCCCCGUGCCGUCCCUCAGCGACAUGAUCGUCAACAGAUACAAACUCCGCAGCGAUGUCCGCUGUGUAAAUCUGUCUGGGAUGGGCUGUAGCGCGGGGCUGAUCUCGGUGGGGCUCGCUGCCGGCCUACUUCGUGCAGCGCCCCACGGUGCUGCUCCUGCCCACGCUCUGGUCGUGUCCACGGAGACCAUCACGCCCAACCUGUACCUCGGCAGGGGGCGUUCCAUGCUGCUGUCCAACAUGCUCUUUCGGGUGGGCGGCGCCACCGUGCUGCUGUCCACGUCCAAGGAUAGGGGGCGGUUUCGACUCGCCCACCUCGUGCGGACGAUCACCGGCGGCGCGCAGGACAGCUCCUACCAGUGCAUCUUCCAGGAGGAGGACGACGAAGGCAACUUAGGGGUCAAACUUUCCAGGAACCUCAUGUGCGUCGCCGGUGACGCGCUCAAGGCCAACAUCACAGCCCUUGGCCCGCUCGUGCUCCCCUUCUUCGAGUAGCUGCGCUUCGUCGCCAACAAGCUGCUGCUCAAGCUGGGCCGGCGAGGCGGCGUGAAGGUGAAGCCUUACGUCCCCGACUUGUGCAAGGCGUCCCAUCACGUGUGCAUCCAUGGAGGGGGGCGCGCGGUCGUCGACGAGGUCCAGUCUGGCCUCGGGCUGUCGGACGAGCACGUGGAGCCAUCUCGCAUGGCGCUUCACCGGUUCGGGAACACGUCGAGCAGCUCGGUGUGGUACGAGAUGGCGUACCUCGAGCCCAAGGGCCAGGUGCGGAAGGGCGACCGUGUCUGGAUGGUUGGCCUCGGAGCUGGGGUCAAGUGCAACAGCGCCGUGUGGGAUUGCAUCCGCCCGGCAGCCAGGCUGGACAAGGCGUGGGCGGGGUGCAUACAUCGCUACCCAAUCAACGUCCCUCAUGCCGACGUCAACAUGGCAGCUGAGAGCGAUCCCAUAAUUGCAGUCUAA
This 1410-nucleotide ribosomal RNA is filed under the name Triticum aestivum (bread wheat). Its description in RNAcentral is "partial small subunit ribosomal RNA". The record is from RNAcentral. Lineage: Eukaryota; Viridiplantae; Streptophyta; Magnoliopsida; Poales; Poaceae.